RNAcentral lists this ribosomal RNA (588 nucleotides) under uncultured bacterium. RNAcentral describes it as "partial 16S ribosomal RNA". It matches the Rfam family "Bacterial small subunit ribosomal RNA", at positions 355 to 939 of the family's 1533-position model. The record is from RNAcentral.
UGGGGAAUUUUGGACAAUGGGCGAAAGCCUGAUCCAGCCAUGCCGCGUGCAGGAUGAAGGCCUUCGGGUUGUAAACUGCUUUUGUACGGAACGAAAAGGUCUGCCCUAAUACGGCGGGCUCAUGACGGUACCGUAAGAAUAAGCACCGGCUAACUACGUGCCAGCAGCCGCGGUAAUACGUAGGGUGCAAGCGUUAAUCGGAAUUACUGGGCGUAAAGCGUGCGCAGGCGGUUAUGUAAGACAGAUGUGAAAUCCCCGGGCUCAACCUGGGAACUGCAUUAGUGACUGCAUAGCUGGAGUACGGCAGAGGGGGAUGGAAUUCCGCGUGUAGCAGUGAAAUGCGUAGAUAUGCGGAGGAACACCGAUGGCGAAGGCAAUCCCCUGGGCCUGUACUGACGCUCAUGCACGAAAGCGUGGGGGAGCAAACAGGAUUAGAUACCCUGGUAGUCCACGCCCUAAACGAUGUCAACUGGUUGUUGGGUCUUCACUGACUCAGUAACGAAGCUAACGCGUGAAGUUGACCGCCUGGGGAGUACGGCCGCAAGGUUGAAACUCAAAGGAAUUGACGGGGGUCAUAGCUGUUUUCCU